GGAUGUGAGGGUGAUCUGGCUGCGAAGUGUGUCACCCCAUUGAUCUCUAGGUUGAUUCAACUGACCUGGCUGCCUAGGUAGGUGGCCCCUUCCUUGCUCAACACUCUGUGUGCAUUCCUCCUGAGGCUGUGAACUCAGUCGAAGAGGGCGAGCACCGCAGAUAGAGCAGACCGUUCCUUGGUCAAGGGCAUAUGAACAGCAUGUUCCCUGCUGGAAGCUCAAUCCAGCUCUCAAGGACCCAGGUCAAACUGAAUGAAAGGUCACAUUAGUGGCCUCCUGUUAACU
RNAcentral lists this small nuclear RNA (285 nucleotides) under Octodon degus (degu). Its description in RNAcentral is "7SK RNA (ENSODEG00000023424.1)". It matches the Rfam family "7SK RNA". From Rfam's summary of the family: 7SK was discovered as an abundant small nuclear RNA in the mid-70s but a possible function has only recently been suggested. Two independent studies have found that 7SK RNA binds the CDK9/cyclin T complex (known as elongation factor P-TEFb). P-TEFb activates transcription by phosphorylating the C-terminal domain of RNA polymerase II. Lineage: Eukaryota; Metazoa; Chordata; Mammalia; Rodentia; Octodontidae. The record is from RNAcentral.